This is a long non-coding RNA of Mercurialis annua (annual mercury), 1804 nucleotides long. RefSeq lists it as uncharacterized. The record is from RefSeq and is a predicted model, not a curated record. The transcript has 2 exons. NCBI's taxonomy places the organism in Eukaryota, Viridiplantae, Streptophyta, Magnoliopsida, Malpighiales, Euphorbiaceae.
AGAAAUUCCUCCCUCUCUCUCGUUCUUUAAACUGUUGGUGGAUAUUUAUUGGUUGUCUCCCUACAGACAAUAUGUUACAAAAAAGGAAUAUUUCUUUUUCUUCUGCUUGCUGACUUUGUAAUGCUAAUUCGAAAGAUUAAACCCAUUUAUCUAUAUUGCCCCUUUUCAGCUAAAAUAUAGAAUUCUAUCUCCAUGCUUUUUGAAAAAACAUUUCCAGUUUUUGGUAAUAUGUUGAAUCUUGUUAUUGAUGCUUUGAAUCAUAGGUUUAGCUCUCAAAUUGCAACUCUUUGGUGUACUUCGAUUGUUUAGUUUGUCUGGGUAAUUUGGAAAACAAGGAAUGCAAGAAUUUUUGACGACAUUCAAUCAAACAUUCAUGUUUCUUUGAGAUUCAUUUAGAAAUAUAUUCGAGAGACAUAUUACUUUAAAUGUGGUUUUAUGAGAAAUGAUCCGAGAGAUUCACAUAUUAUUGCUUCUUAAUAUUAAAAAAGUUCCCCAAAACCUCCAUCUAUCAUUCUUGUUAGCUGGAAUCCUUCUCUGGCUAAUUGGAUCAAAGUUAAUAUAAAUGGUUCUGCAGCGGGAUAUUCGAGUAUGGCAGGUGCAUGUGGAAUCUUUCAGAAUACAAAACGAUUUUCAAAAGGAGCUUUUUCUUUUGAUAUUGGCUUUAGUUGUGUUUUUGUAGCUGAAUUAAGAGCUGCAAUAUUUGAAGUUAAAGUGGUUUGGCAAAAAGGUUAGUUUAACCUUUGGCUAAAAUCUGGCUCUUUGUAUAUUGUCAAUGCGCUUAGUUACAAGACCAAAAUAACCUUGACAAUUGAUGGAUCAAUGGUUUGAAUCUCUUCAUGUAAUACCCCGUACUUUUAGAAGUGCCAAGUAAGGUGCCACGAAGCACAAGUGUGAGAAUUUAAUUGGGGAUUUCGAAAUUUAGUUUGAGAAAUAAGAAAAUAGACCAAAGUGAGUUUAUUAAAUUUUUUGUAAAAUAAUAAUUUCAGUAAAAUUAUUAUUUGAUAAAAUUGGAAUUUAUCGGGACUAGAGAAAAAUAAAUAAACUAAAUGAUAAGUCUCGAAUUAAUAAAUGUUACGACAAAAUUCGUAAAAUAAAAUUAAGGAGUUAAGAUUACACUUUAUACAACUUGGACACAAGAAUUUUAAUUAAGCGGAACUUGAUUAUCGGAAUAAGGAAAGUAAAUAAAUAAUGCGGAGUCCAUUAUUUAUCGAUAAAUGAAAAUCGUUAAGGUUCCGUUUAAUUAUAAAAAGAAUUGGAAAUAAUUUGAAGAAAAUUGAAAGCUAAAGGAUUGAAUUGUAAGAAGUGUUAAAAUUCAAGCUUUCAUAUAAACUUUUUCCCCACAUAUUCAUUAAGAAAAUGACACCUAAUUCCCUCCACCUCUUCAAGAUUUAUCUAGCAAGCCAAGGACCCAAAAUCAGAAAUCCCCAAUACCCUCAACUUCCUUUGCCGAAGCUCCAUCUCCAUGUUCUUCUUCUUCUUAUGCGAGUUGGGCGACGGGGAUCAUAACUCAACAAAUUGAUCAUCAAAUUUAGCGGUUUAAGCGCGGUUGUAAAGCCAACACACCAAGGGUUAAGUGUUUUAUUUCAGGUGAUAGUAUUUGAAGAGAUGGACUUCCAUUCUUGUUCCGGAAGUCUGCAAUAUAUAAAGUAUGUAUUGAAGUACGCUUCAAUUCGUAGCGCUGCAGUAGUCAGUAGAUGUCAAACUAUAUUUGACUUUAUGUAUUGAAAGAGGUUCAGUUGUUAAUUUUAUAAAAUAUAUAUACAUGGUUUUAUAAAGCUAUGGUUUUUACUGUUUGAUUUCUUUA